Fopius arisanus is the source of this 460-nucleotide long non-coding RNA. RefSeq lists it as uncharacterized. The transcript is spliced from 3 exons. The record is from RefSeq and is a predicted model, not a curated record. NCBI's taxonomy places the organism in Eukaryota, Metazoa, Arthropoda, Insecta, Hymenoptera, Braconidae.
AUAUUUUCCAUUGGCCCUUACAUUUGUGAUGUGCAACAGAGUCCUGAAUCAUCCGACUACAAUAUACACGUAUGUAUAUUCUAAUAUAUAUUUCGUUGCGGGGGGAGGCAGUCCAGGGGGAGACGAUGCCAAGGGAUUAUUGUACGGAAUACAUAGCACAUAGGCGAGCUGUGAGUGUCUAGGAAGUAAAAUGCUGGAUUCUCCUUGUUCCUCGAGGGCUGGACCAUUGGAGCCGCGUUGAAGGUUGCAAAUGCCAGAGCCAACGAAAGAGACGUGCACCAGUGUGCGGAUGUUUGUUAUUUAUGCGUGUGCACCUCAACUCGGGUGGGAAACGCUCGUCUUUCUACAUUAUACCACCAUUAUGUGUGUACAUUAUAUCGCAAAAUAUCGAUAAAGCAUGGAUUAUCAUUGGAAUUACUUCCCCCAGCUCAAUGAUAAUAAUAUAAAUAACGGAGUAGUA